CUCUGUUCCAAGAAUUCUACUCUUUUACAGAGCAUCUUUUUGAGUGUCCUGGUUUUAAUUGGAUUUGGAUCUCCACAUCGUUGGUGGAAGAAGGCUAUCAGAAUGGCUUCAAAAUUUGCGACCACAAUUGGCGACGUACGAAGGGACAAGGAAUUAAGGUGAUUGCUGGGAGCCUUGGGGAAUGCCAAAGCCUUGCACAUCAGAGAACACCAAGCGGCCGCUAUAAUAAGUUACAGUGUGAAGAGGUAGAGUUUGAAGCACUGAGGAGGGACAUGCAGUCUGACCGGGCACUUGGCAACCAAAAGGAAAGAGAAGAACAUUCCAUUGGUAUGGGGCAAACUGGGAAGAUUAAGGUAAGGCAGAGUUGAGUCAGCAUGAUUAAACCUUCAUAGGUGAGCAACUACUGACCUAGUAAAAUCCAAAUUUACAAACUGUUGAAGUAGACCUUUAACCCUGCAACUAGAACUGCUUGUUUUUCAGGAGGUCUCAAUGUUCCUCAUGGCCAUCCAGGUGUAUUGUAAACAUAACACCAGUUACAUGUAUUAUUUACGGUUCAUAAUUUACUAUCACUCAAGUUAAGGAAAAUGGGGUGUGAAGUAAUUGUCUGCCUCAGAGUCCACCACCAAAAUGUGUAACAAGAUUACAGUUAGGGAAUUUCUUAUGAUUACUGUCUAUAAACAAUCCAUGCAUGGCUGAGAAAAGUUUUUUAUUAGUCUAAUACAGCUGUUUUAGCUUUUCAAUGGCGACUUUUCUAUAAGAACAAAGGCUGUCAAGCUGUAUAUUAUUCAACUCAAGGUUGAACAGGUAUGAAAUUAUGAUGCCAGUCAUUUAAGGGCACUUUAUUAUCCAAGGAUAAACUGCAAAAAUAAAACAUUACAAAACGAUUAUUUAUCUGACCCCCUUUUAGCAAGAAACUUGGAGAGGAGGAACUCCGUUUUUAACAGGAAUAAAUGCCCAGUAGAACUGGGCACAGGGGGGAGUGGUCAUCUGCUGUGACCAGCUGAGUAAGGAGGAGGAGACAGGACUAAAAACAUGCUGUGUAGGAGAGCCAGAGAUUGAUAAUAACUAAUAAUAACUCAAAAGAGAGACCUAAAAACCGGAGGCCUGGCUUCCCAUUCUACUUUUAAAUAUUCUAGUAAGCUUAAAGUUUGAGAGUGAAGUGGGGAGAUACAGUACUAUAGGAGCAGGAUGGUAAUUAAAAAAACAGAUUUAACAAGGAGCCUAUGAAGAAAAGUCAAUAGGAGAAAUAUACUCUGUCAUUCUAGUCCCUUUCAGUAUUCAUGUGCAACAUUUUGAUGUAGUUGACCACAACCUGAUAAUGAUAAAAGGACAGCCUAGAAGUAAUAAAUGCAUGAAUUUGUCUUUCAGCAUCACUCUGGGACAGGACUUUAGAGAUAUUGCAGAAAUUGAAGAAAGCAGUCCUUAAUAUUCGCAUAUUAGCACAUAUUGGGAUAAAAAUAACUCAUGGAAACCUCACAGUGUUAAUGGAGACCAAGGUAAUGCCAUUCAGAGCAUUCCUUUAGGUUGACUGACAGGUGUGUGGUGUUUGGCUUCAUGGAUGAAUGAGAGAGAGGGUGUCAUCAGCACGGCAGAGGUAUGUUGUGUCUUUUGUGGUGUUACCUGAAGGAGGCACGUGUUAUGUAAAUAGAAAUAGAUCCUGGUGCGAAACCUUGUGAAGCUCAAUGGUUAGUCUUGUGUAUGUGGGAGGAUUCUUAGAAUAACAUGUUAUGGUCACAAGUGUCGAACAUAGAGAUCAAUCCACUGUCAGAGGCCUUAAGAAGAUCAUUUUUAACUUUCAUCAAAGCUGUUUCUGUGCUGUGAUGUGCUCUGAAACCUGACUGAAACUCUUUAAAUAAGGCAUUCCUCUGUGGCUAUUUUACAGCAUCUCUUGUGGGGAUUUUUGACAUAAAGGAAAGUUGGAGGCCUAUAAUUGGCUAGGACAGUUAGGUCAAGUGAUGGUUUUUGAGUGAUGGUUUAACUACUGCCAAUAGGAAGAACUGUGUGGUCAAUGUGGCAUUGUCUAACUUAGCUUUGAAAAUUCCAAUUCGGCGGCUAUAGAGGUGUGGGAAGUUUGAUCAGCCAUAUAGCCAGCAACGCUAAGUUUUGGGCUAACAGUGCUAAUGAUGAAUUGUGAAUUGGCAGCCGGUAACAGAGUUAAUGUUUAUCCAAAUUCAGCUUAUAAAUAUGAAGAGGCAAUAACCCAGCUAGUAGUCGCCCUAAAGCUCACUAGUCCUGUGGCUGUGAUUAGAUGUCUUGAUCACCAGAAAACAGACACAUUAAUACCUAAAUGAAACAACAUGUUAGAGCUUUACUAUGCACUUCCUAAAUUGAUAGCUAGGUAAAGAUAAGUAAAGCUUUCUGUUUAUAACAGCAUUUGAGACAAACAUUUCAAAGUACUCCACAAAAUAAAGCAAUGAAUUGGAAUUUGUUAAGGAAGAGGUCAACUGGGUACAAAUAUUAACUCUAGUACUAAGGUGCAUGCAGUUGUGAACUAACAAGACUACAACAACUAACACUGCAUGGCAUACUCACAAAUGUCCAUAGAUAAGUCCUCAUAAAGGGCCUGUAUUGCUAACUGUGAACAAAACUAAUGCAGUCUGCGAAGUUAUCUUUCUGCAGGUGGAGAUGGCAUCUGGAUAACAGAUGGAGAUGCAGAGGUCCUGGAGCAGGUGCUGGCAAUCUGAUGACGAGUGCGAGGGGACAACGGAGUGAAACAGGCUGCUCCAGACAGCUGAACCAUGACCCAUCCAGUAGCUGUUGAAUCUGCUGCAGAGCCUACAGCCCAGGUGGAGCCGUACAGUGCCCAAACCAGCUUCCGAAUGAUGGAUGUGCAAGAUCAACUACUACCCAUCGCCAACCCUGACUUUAAUCAAGAGUAGAACCAAGUCGUCUCGAGUAUUCUUAGAAGGUAUGCAAGAUCCAGCAGUCAAGAAGUACCAAGAGAGACUUUUCUCGGACUCAUAAAUUGGUUGAAAUAUGGACUGAAAAAGGGACACAAGUUGAGUAAAGGUUGAAGCUGCUGCAGAGAAAUGUCAACCUUGAAGCUAACAAAGGACAUUUCAAAGCCCACACUGAGAAGUCUGUUCAGAAGAAGUUGCACCUGACCAAGAUGAAAUCCAAAAUUGGGAAUUAAUUGUUUAAUCGUGUUAUUUUUAAUGUCACUUAUGGUGUUGUGUAAUCCAUGUAUGUAUUAUGUGUCUCUGCUGAUGUGUUUUAUGCCUUACUUUCAUUUUCCUGUAAUUAGGCUGAUUUUUAAGUUUCUUGAGUAUUCUGUUAAGGAUACUGUGUAGUAUGAUUUGCAAAUGAAGAUGAAUCAAUUUGUCUUAAA
Molecule: long non-coding RNA, 3328 nt
Organism: Oreochromis aureus
Lineage: Eukaryota; Metazoa; Chordata; Actinopteri; Cichliformes; Cichlidae
Exons: 2
Source: RefSeq, a predicted model, not a curated record